UACGUAGGGUGCAAGCGUUAAUCGGAAUUACUGGGCGUAAAGCGUGCGCAGGCGGUUUUGUAAGUCAGAUGUGAGAUCCCCGGGCUUAACCUGGGAACUGCGUUUGAAACUACAAGGCUAGAGUGUGGCAGAGGGGGGUGGAAUUCCACGUGUAGCAGUGAAAUGCGUAGAGAUGUGAAGGAACACCGAUGGCGAAGGCAGCCCCCUGGGUUAACACUGACGCUCAGGCACGAAAGCGUGGGGAGCAAACAGG
Molecule: ribosomal RNA, 253 nt
Filed under: uncultured bacterium
Lineage: Bacteria
Description: partial 16S ribosomal RNA
Rfam family: Bacterial small subunit ribosomal RNA
Source: RNAcentral